Picea glauca (white spruce) is the source of this 123-nucleotide non-coding RNA. Lineage: Eukaryota; Viridiplantae; Streptophyta; Pinopsida; Pinales; Pinaceae. The record is from Rfam.
AUGUGCAUUCCUACAACAUAGUGUUAAUGCACCAGAUCCCAUUAGAACUAUGUAGUUAAGCUCGCUCUGGCUAGAGUAGUAUUGGGAUGGGUGACCGCCUAGGAAUUCCUAGUGUUUUACAUG